UGGGGAAUAUUGGACAAUGGGCGAAAGCCUGAUCCAGCAAUGCCGCGUGGGUGAAGAAGGUCUUCGGAUUGUAAAGCCCUUUCGGCGGGGACGAUGAUGACGGUACCCGCAGAAGAAGCCCCGGCUAACUUCGUGCCAGCAGCCGCGGUAAUACGAAGGGGGCUAGCGUUGCUCGGAAUUACUGGGCGUAAAGGGCGCGUAGGCGGCCUUGUCAGUCGGGCGUGAAAUCCCCGGGCUCAACCUGGGAAUUGCGCUCGAUACGGCUGGGCUUGAGGCCGAGAGAGGGUGGUGGAAUUCCCAGUGUAGAGGUGAAAUUCGUAGAUAUUGGGAAGAACACCGGUGGCGAAGGCGGCCACCUGGCUCGGUUCUGACGCUGAGGCGCGAAAGCGUGGGGAGCAAACAGGA
RNAcentral lists this ribosomal RNA (405 nucleotides) under uncultured bacterium. RNAcentral describes it as "bacterial SSU rRNA". It matches the Rfam family "Bacterial small subunit ribosomal RNA", at positions 355 to 777 of the family's 1533-position model. The record is from RNAcentral.